This is a long non-coding RNA of Hevea brasiliensis (rubber tree), 618 nucleotides long. RefSeq lists it as uncharacterized. NCBI's taxonomy places the organism in Eukaryota, Viridiplantae, Streptophyta, Magnoliopsida, Malpighiales, Euphorbiaceae. The transcript has 2 exons. The record is from RefSeq and is a predicted model, not a curated record.
GUUGGUUUGUCAGAACUUGAGUCGAAUGGGUCCAUAGGUUGGAAAAGCUCAAUUAGCUAAAAUCGGAAAAUAUUGAUGCAUAAGAUUGGUCUUGAAUCAAAGCAGGAUGAAGCCUUUUGAGCCAUCGGCAAAUGUGGCCACAUUGCAAGAAAGCUUCCAUUAGCAACCAAUCAGACUACAAGCCCCACCAGUCUGCUCCCUUCUUCCAUCCUUUCUUUUCUAUUCUUUUUAAUCAAGUCCCAAACCCCAAGGUUACAAACUUCCAAUUGAAACCCUUGCAACAUGCCAAAACCAAUUUGAAAUGACUAAUCACAGAGAAGUGCCUCCAAACAAGAUACACACCAGCCACGCAAAGCUUAUUGCGAUAGCGUGCAAGAGGACUCAGGAAGCUCCAUUUUCCCUUCAGUCUCUGAAGACUCAGGAAGCAAUUGAAUAACUGCAAAAUUUUCCAAAAGCACAAGGGUUCUGUGUGAGAUGUAUGUAGGGCAAUAUUUAGAUUUUUCAGUGGUGGAUGCAUGCUAUGCCACCGAAAUCAUGUUGUAAUUUUUUUAAUCCCCAGAGUUAAAUGGACAAAAUUUACAAAUAGUUUGAGAUGAAUUUUAAUUAGGUUUAAGAUGA